Molecule: ribosomal RNA, 962 nt
Filed under: human gut metagenome
Description: bacterial LSU rRNA
Rfam family: Bacterial large subunit ribosomal RNA
Source: RNAcentral
GGUAGCGAAAUUCCUUGUCGGGUAAGUUCCGACCCGCACGAAAGGCGUAAUGAUUUGAGCACUGUCUCGACAAUGCAUCCGGUGAAAUUGAAGUACCAGUGAAGAUGCUGGUUACCCGCGCCAGGACGGAAAGACCCCAUGGAGCUUUACUCCAGUUUGAUACUGGGAUUCGGUACUGCACGUACAGGAUAGGUGGGAGACUGAGAACUAUGGACGCCAGUCUGUAGGGAGUCGCUGUUGGGAUACCACCCCUGUAGUACUGGGUUUCUAACCAGCUGCCGUGACCCGGCAGUGGGACAAUGUCAGGCGGGGAGUUUGACUGGGGCGGUCGCCUCCGAAAGGGUAUCGGAGGCGCUCAAAGGUUCCCUCAGAAUGGUCGGAAACCAUUUGAAGAGUGCAAAGGCAGAAGGGAGCUUGACUGCGACACCGACGGGUGGAGCAGGUACGAAAGUAGGACUUAGUGAUCCGGUGGUAUAAAGUGGGAUUGCCAUCGCUCAACGGAUAAAAGCUACCCUGGGGAUAACAGGCUUAUCACUCCCAAGAGUUCACAUCGACGGAGUGGUUUGGCACCUCGAUGUCGGCUCAUCGCAUCCUGGGGCUGUAGCAGGUCCCAAGGGUUGGGCUGUUCGCCCAUUAAAGCGGUACGCGAGCUGGGUUCAGAACGUCGUGAGACAGUUCGGUCCCUAUCCGGCGCAGGCGGAGGAUAUUUGAGAGGAGCUGUCCUUAGUACGAGAGGACCGGGAUGGACGGACCACUGGUGUAUCUGUUGGCUAUCAGAGCCAUGGCAGAGUAGCCAAGUCCGGCAGGGAUAAACGCUGAAGGCAUCUAAGCGUGAAGCCCCCCUCAAGAUGAGUUAUCCCAAUAAGUAAGACCCCUUAGAGAGUAUGAGGUAGAUAGGUUUGAGGUGGAAGUGCAGUAAUGCAUGGAGCUGACAAAUACUAAUCGGUCGAGGGCUUAUCCUG